Long non-coding RNA from Pseudoliparis swirei, 2923 nucleotides. RefSeq lists it as uncharacterized. The record is from RefSeq and is a predicted model, not a curated record. NCBI's taxonomy places the organism in Eukaryota, Metazoa, Chordata, Actinopteri, Perciformes, Liparidae. The transcript has 8 exons.
UCUGUGGACUGGACAUGUUCAGACAUCAUUCCAACUGUGACUAGGAUGAUACGUGUGUAAGUAUGUCUCCGCAUAUGUCUCUUCAUUAAAUGUUCUACCCUAGUGUGUAUUUCUACAGGUAACAUUAACGUUGGAAUAGGUAUAACCUUGAUGGUUAGCUAACAUUAGCUAGCUAUCCAGCUCACUAGGUUUAGCUAACCGAAUAGGAUAAAGAAUGUUUAGCUAGCCAAAGACUGUGGUGUUAGCCAAGUAGGAUGAAUAGGGAUAUUUUUCUCAUUAAGAAAUUAGAAUAAUCAACACACGUUGCAAUCACGUUAUAUUAUGAACCGUGAUUGUAAUUUUUUUAAAGAAUUCUGUAAUGGUAGAGCACAGACAUUUAUUUUAAAGGCAGGUUAAAAAUUAUCCUAUGUUGUCCACUAUUUUCUUUUCUUUUCGUUUAUUACUGCCAUUUCGCCCAAAUGUGUGUUAUUAAAUUAUUUAAACAAGUAUAUUGGGCUUCAUAUUAAGGUUAGACACUUUUUAAAUAAAGAGAAAUGUGUGGGGGUUGUCGUGAAAUGUCGAGAGCAUUUUAUUUUGACUGCAUUUAUCUCACUGUUCCGUUAGCUUUACUUCCUGUUAGUGUCGGGACUUUUCGGGGUAAGCCACGUUUCCACUCUGCUCUUUGCACUUUCGUAGAUUUGGUUCAAAUUUAAACUGAAGUUAUUUGAAAUACAUGGAAAGUCAAUGUAUUAUCAUCUGUACAUUAUCUACUUGCAAUUUAAGUUAUUUUGUAUGUCCGUGUGUCGAUGUCUGUGGGUAGGGCUGCCAUGUGGCUAACGUUCUAAGCUAGCAUGUACAGUCAAGAACGUGUGCUAGCAUUUGUGUGUGUCGAUAUAAUGCGUGACCGGAAAAAUGCAAAUGUCAGAAGGAGUAGAGUAAUUAAAACAUGCUUUGGACAAACAUGUCUGCACAAUGGAGACGUAAAGAGAUGUGCAAGCUUGUUGUUCUGGCCGACACAUAGUUGGCUAAACAGAAGGUCAGGCUCAGGCUCUUUUAAGUGAAGGAUGGGAGAGCCGGGCGCUCCAUGCAGUCGCAGAAGUCAAGGCGCUGCCACUCUCCCAACGUUUUCAAUAGCGGCUCUGUUAAGCGUUUUACCCGACGAACGUGUCCCGAGGUCGGCCGCGAAACCGCCAGGUUACCCGCCCAUUACGGAUGAUCUUUCCGCGAUUUUCAACCCGCCCAAAGUGAUCGAAACUUGGACGCCAGACUUGGGAAAACCACGCCAAAUUAUAGAGCGACGCAUAAUCAUCAAUUUGGCUGGAGGGAGUUUUCAAUAGCGCCUCCGUAAACCGCUUUACCCGACGCAAAUGUCCCGAUGUCGGCCGCGAAACCACCAGGGUACCCGCCCGUUAUGGAGGAAUGUUUUUAGAUUUUCAACCCGCCCAAAGUGAUCGAAAUUCGGACCCCAGACUUGGGCAAACCACGCCGAAUCAUGGAGCCACGGAUAAUCUUUAAUUCGACUGGAGGAAGUUUUCCUUAAGCGGGUCCAUAAACCGCUUAACCCGAUGAAAGCGGGUUGCGCAUUCGCCAGGUCAGGACAUUUUUGGAGUAUGAAAGGGGCUUAAGUGACUUAAAAUAGUUAGUCACACAAGUAUGAUGUACAUUAAUUUGAUUUAGUCGUACACUGCCGACGCUAGGUGGCAUAGAAAAGGCAAGGGGAAAACAAAACAUGAGUUUUAGAUUUUUUAUGAAUGUUUUUUUCUUUUCUUUGUAGGACAAUAUGCUGGUCAAGGUGAGAUUUGGUUCAAGUCAGAAGUAUGUUAAGGUGGCAGAAACCGAAGCAGGCUAUGAAGACUACAAUACAUUUAUUGAGAAAGUAAUAGGAAAGUUAGGUCUUCCUCUACAGACAGACUUGCACUUGACAGAUCAAUCAGGGACAGAGGUGGAUGCAGAUGUGUUUGAGGAACUCUUACAAGCAGGGGAUCUUACCGUCAAUGUGUCCACAGAAAAGUCUGGAGUUGUGCUUCAACCAGAUCAAGCAGAAAUUUCUUUUGAGUCGAAUGUGUCAGACACCGUAUCCUCUGUGCCUUCUGAUUCAUCUGAUGCAACAAUAACUCUUGAGAACGAUGGUGGGAGGAAAAGGACCCACGACGAUCGGGAAUCAGCUGAAGCGAUGGUGAGAGAUGUUCUUCAGUCCAAGCCAGGGGGAGAAAAGGUGUUGCAUGAAUAUGACAAAAUGAAGACAUUGACGGAUGGUACCCGGUGACAUAUGAUAAACCUACUGGUGGCUGACAUGAUUGAAGUUCAUGGGAGGAUCCCACCAACCUAUGUGCGAACAAAAUACGCUCUUGGCAUUAUAACUCUAUUUCCUUACCUCGGGGAUCCUUACUCAAAAAAUGGAUAUGAGCACUUCUAUGAUGCUGACAGUGGAUCUGGUUAUUUGGCCUGGAGGAUAAAGACAGUCCAGCGCAACAUUGCAGUUCUAUCUCGGAGAUGCUCAACCACCUGUACCUAUCAAGCUGGACCAAAAAGCAAGAGAGAUUUUCUCCUAACUGACAAUCAACUGUCUGGCGAGGAAUGCCGUGAGGCAAUCUCCAUAUUGAAACAUACAACUGAUGAAUCGGUUGUCAAAGAGAAAAUGAGGGCAACAUUUCAAUACCGUCAGACGGUAGUUCAACAAGACCAGCAAGACUCCUCUACAGUCCUGGAUGUUUUCCCACGUUUUCUCGAUACACCUGGCUUGAUUGACCAAGACUUUGCCAUGAUGUUUGGAGAGGAGGCUUCUGGCAGAUUCUUGGCAAAAUGGCCCACUUUCUUCAAACCCAGGAUCCUGGCAAACUGCAAGAAUUCUAAUGAGAAUGUUGAAGACUUGUUGUCUGGGCAUCACUCCUCAGAUGCGUCUGGCUGGGACAGUGACCUGUCAAGCAUCCUACUGCUGGUUCAC